Molecule: ribosomal RNA, 465 nt
Filed under: uncultured bacterium
Lineage: Bacteria
Description: bacterial SSU rRNA
Rfam family: Bacterial small subunit ribosomal RNA
Source: RNAcentral
ACUCCUACGGGAGGCAGCAGUGGGGAAUUUUGGACAAUGGGGGAAACCCUGAUCCAGCCAUCCCGCGUGUGCGAUGAAGGCCUUCGGGUUGUAAAGCACUUUUGGCAGGAAAGAAACGUCGCGGGUUAAUACCCCGCGAAACUGACGGUACCUGCAGAAUAAGCACCGGCUAACUACGUGCCAGCAGCCGCGGUAAUACGUAGGGUGCAAGCGUUAAUCGGAAUUACUGGGCGUAAAGCGUGCGCAGGCGGUUCGGAAAGAAAGAUGUGAAAUCCCAGAGCUUAACUUUGGAACUGCAUUUUUAACUACCGGGCUAGAGUGUGUCAGAGGGAGGUGGAAUUCCGCGUGUAGCAGUGAAAUGCGUAGAUAUGCGGAGGAACACCGAUGUCGAAGGCAGCCUCCUGGGAUAACACUGACGCUCAUGCACGAAAGCGUGGGGAGCAAACAGGAUUAGAUACCCUGGUA